RNAcentral lists this ribosomal RNA (324 nucleotides) under Synechococcus sp. KUAC 3073. RNAcentral describes it as "bacterial SSU rRNA". It matches the Rfam family "Bacterial small subunit ribosomal RNA", at positions 412 to 751 of the family's 1533-position model. RNAcentral also lists the same sequence under 1 other name. Lineage: Bacteria; Bacillati; Cyanobacteriota; Cyanophyceae; Synechococcales; Synechococcaceae. The record is from RNAcentral.
AGGCCUCUGGGCUGUAAACCUCUUUUCUCAAGGAAGAAGAUCUGACGGUACUUGAGGAAUAAGCCACGGCUAAUUCCGUGCCAGCAGCCGCGGUAAUACGGGAGUGGCAAGCGUUAUCCGGAAUUAUUGGGCGUAAAGCGUCCGCAGGCGGCCCUUCAAGUCUGCUGUUAAAAAGUGGAGCUUAACUCCAUCGUGGCAGUGGAAACUGUUGGGCUAGAGUGUGGUAGGGGCAGAGGGAAUUCCCGGUGUAGCGGUGAAAUGCGUAGAUAUCGGGAAGAACACCAGUGGCGAAGGCGCUCUGCUGGGCCAUAACUGACGCUCAUG